GCUUACGGCCAUAUCAGCCUGGGUACGCCCGAUCUCGUCUGAUCUCGGAAGCUAAGCAGGGUCGGGCCUGGUUAGUACUUGGAUGGGAGACCCCCUGGGAAUACCAGGUGCUGUAAGCA
Molecule: ribosomal RNA, 119 nt
Filed under: Salmo salar (Atlantic salmon)
Lineage: Eukaryota; Metazoa; Chordata; Actinopteri; Salmoniformes; Salmonidae
Source: RNAcentral